UGACAUCAGGGGUAAAGUCUACAGGAUACAUUGGAAGAACUCUGGGAUGAGUAGAAAAUAUUCCACUGGAAAGAGAGGAGCACAAGAGUUUCAGGCUGAAACAACAGCACUUACACAGGCACAUAGGUGAAGAUGAACAAGUUCACUCCAGGGACCAAAGCAAGGCUAUGUAUUGCAAGAACACUUGCACAUUUGGUGCAGUCGAAAACCCUUGCAUUAGGACCUCAGGACAUUACGCUUGUAUCUUGGUAACUGCUCUGUGAACAUCAAACCAUGAAAAUUGAAGCUGCCACAGGAAAUGGGAAGGCACUGUGUUGGAUACAGAGGAAACAGUGAGUUCAUGCAGUCUUUACUCUCAAGGACUUUACAACCAGCUGGGGAGACAGAACAACCAGCAUUUACAUAUGAUGUCGCUGAUAUAUUCAUUCUUCUGCUCUGAAUUGUUGAGUUCAAGUUUCAAA
Ictidomys tridecemlineatus (thirteen-lined ground squirrel) is the source of this 461-nucleotide non-coding RNA. Lineage: Eukaryota; Metazoa; Chordata; Mammalia; Rodentia; Sciuridae. The record is from RefSeq and is a predicted model, not a curated record.